AUACGGAGGUGGCAAGCGUUGCUCGGAAUCACUGGGCGUAAAGGGCGCGUAGGCGGGGAGGUAAGUCGGGUGUGAAAUCCCUCGGCCCAACCGAGGAACUGCGCCCGAGACUGCUUCUCUUGAGUCCCGGAGAGGAAGAUGGAAUUCCCGGUGUAGCGGUGAAAUGUGUAGAGAUCGGGAGGAACACCGGUGGCGAAGGCGGUCUUCUGGACGGUGACUGACGCUGAGGCGCGAAAGCGUGGGGAGCAAACGG
RNAcentral lists this ribosomal RNA (253 nucleotides) under uncultured prokaryote. Its description in RNAcentral is "partial 16S ribosomal RNA". It matches the Rfam family "Bacterial small subunit ribosomal RNA", at positions 523 to 775 of the family's 1533-position model. The record is from RNAcentral.